AACUAACGCUGGCGGCGUGCCUAACACAUGCAAGUCGUACGAGAAAGCCGGCUUCGGCUGGUGAGUAAAGUGGCGCACGGGUGAGUAACGCGUGGAUAAUCUGCCCUUAAGUGUGGAAUAACGUACCGAAAGGUGCGCUAAUACCGCAUAAUGCCUGGCAACACAAGUUGUCCGGCCAAAGAAGGCCUCUGUUUACAAGCUUUCGCUUCAGGAUGAGUCCGCGUACCAUUAGCUUGUUGGUGGGGUAAUGGCCUACCAAGGCUGCGAUGGUUAGCUGGUCUGAGAGGAUGAUCAGCCACACUGGAACUGAGACACGGUCCAGACUCCUACGGGAGGCAGCAGUGAGGAAUAUUGCGCAAUGGGGGCAACCCUGACGCAGCAACGCCGCGUAAGUGAGGAAGGUUUUCGGACUGUAAAGCUCUGUCGAGCGGGAAGAAGUGUACCAUGGCUAAUAUCCAUGAUAUUUGACGGUACCGCUAGAGGAAGCACC
RNAcentral lists this ribosomal RNA (490 nucleotides) under uncultured bacterium. RNAcentral's name for it is "bacterial SSU rRNA". It matches the Rfam family "Bacterial small subunit ribosomal RNA", at positions 29 to 494 of the family's 1533-position model. The record is from RNAcentral.